This 321-nucleotide long non-coding RNA is filed under the name Felis catus (domestic cat). RNAcentral's name for it is "lncRNA (ENSFCAG00000048308.1)". The record is from RNAcentral. Lineage: Eukaryota; Metazoa; Chordata; Mammalia; Carnivora; Felidae.
GAGAAACAAGAACUUCAGAGAAAAGAAAAUAAUUUUGCCAAAUUAUUUCAAUGCUUUGGAAAGUGAAUUUGAACUAGACUGCAGCUACACACCUUCUUCUACAUGCCGUACAGUCUGGUUUCCUUUUCCAAGGACCCGUGCUGUGCUUUUGUCCAUGGCUCACCUUGUGUGGUGACGUCGAGACUUCUGAAGAUAUGGAAGACCAGUGCAUCUUACUGGACACAGAUGGAAAAAUAUCCCAACCCCAGCUCCACAAUGAAGCCAAAGUUUCCGCCCGUGACCCCUGCAGCAGCUGAUAGUUUUCUGUACAUGCAAGCAUAG